GGGAUCGUGGCGCAGUUGGCUAGCGCGUAGGUCUCAUACAUGUGCUUCACAGCAUAACAGUAGAGUCUUAUAUCCUAAGGUCGUGAGUUCGAGCCUCACCGAUCCCA
This 107-nucleotide transfer RNA is filed under the name Ophiostoma piceae UAMH 11346. It matches the Rfam family "tRNA". From Rfam's summary of the family: Transfer RNA (tRNA) molecules are approximately 80 nucleotides in length. Their secondary structure includes four short double-helical elements and three loops (D, anti-codon, and T loops). The record is from Rfam by way of RNAcentral. Lineage: Eukaryota; Fungi; Ascomycota; Sordariomycetes; Ophiostomatales; Ophiostomataceae.